RNAcentral lists this transfer RNA (87 nucleotides) under Candidatus Fermentibacter danicus. Its description in RNAcentral is "tRNA-Tyr". It matches the Rfam family "tRNA". From Rfam's summary of the family: Transfer RNA (tRNA) molecules are approximately 80 nucleotides in length. Lineage: Bacteria; Pseudomonadati; Candidatus Fermentibacterota; Candidatus Fermentibacteria; Candidatus Fermentibacterales; Candidatus Fermentibacteraceae. RNAcentral also lists the same sequence under 2 other names. The record is from RNAcentral.
GGCGGGGUUCCCGAGCGGUCAAAGGGGGCAGACUGUAAAUCUGUUGGCUCAACGCCUUCGGUGGUUCGAAUCCACCCCUCGCCACCA